GACGAACGCUGGCAGCGUGCUUAACACAUGCAAGUCGAACGGAAAGGCCUCUUUCGGGGGGUACUCGAGUGGCGAACGGGUGAGUAACACGUGAGUAACCUGCCCUUGACUUUGGGAUAACUUCAGGAAACUGGGGCUAAUACCGGAUAGGAGCUCCUGCUGCAUGGUGGGGGUUGGAAAGUUUCGGCGGUUGGGGAUGGACUCGCGGCUUAUCAGCUUGUUGGUGGGGUAGUGGCUUACCAAGGCUUUGACGGGUAGCCGGCCUGAGAGGGUGACCGGCCACAUUGGGACUGAGAUACGGCCCAGACUCCUACGGGAGGCAGCAGUGGGGAAUAUUGCACAAUGGGUGGAAGCCUGAUGCAGCAACGCCGUGUGCGGGAGGACGGCCUUCGGGUUGUAAACCGCUUUCGCUCAUGACGAAGCUUUGUGUGACGGUAGUGGGUAAAGAAGCACCGGCUAACUACGUG
This 467-nucleotide ribosomal RNA is filed under the name uncultured bacterium. RNAcentral describes it as "partial 16S ribosomal RNA". It matches the Rfam family "Bacterial small subunit ribosomal RNA", at positions 28 to 507 of the family's 1533-position model. The record is from RNAcentral.